RNAcentral lists this ribosomal RNA (576 nucleotides) under uncultured Vibrio sp. RNAcentral describes it as "bacterial SSU rRNA". It matches the Rfam family "Bacterial small subunit ribosomal RNA", at positions 162 to 733 of the family's 1533-position model. Lineage: Bacteria; Pseudomonadati; Pseudomonadota; Gammaproteobacteria; Vibrionales; Vibrionaceae. The record is from RNAcentral.
GCUAAUACCGCAUAAUGCCUUCGGGCCAAAGAGGGGGACCUUCGGGCCUCUCGCGUCAGGAUAUGCCCAGGUGGGAUUAGCUAGUUGGUAAGGUAAUGGCUUACCAAGGCGACGAUCCCUAGCUGGUCUGAGAGGAUGAUCAGCCACACUGGAACUGAGACACGGUCCAGACUCCUACGGGAGGCAGCAGUGGGGAAUAUUGCACAAUGGGCGCAAGCCUGAUGCAGCCAUGCCGCGUGUGUGAAGAAGGCCUUCGGGUUGUAAAGCACUUUCAGUCGUGAGGAAGGUAGUGUAGUUAAUAGCUGCAUUGCUUGACGUUAGCGACAGAAGAAGCACCGGCUAACUCCGUGCCAGCAGCCGCGGUAAUACGGAGGGUGCGAGCGUUAAUCGGAAUUACUGGGCGUAAAGCGCAUGCAGGUGGUUCGUUAAGUCAGAUGUGAAAGCCCGGGGCUCAACCUCGGAACUGCAUUUGAAACUGGCGGACUAGAGUACUGUAGAGGGGGGUAGAAUUUCAGGUGUAGCGGUGAAAUGCGUAGAGAUCUGAAGGAAUACCGGUGGCGAAGGCGGCCCCCUGGA